GGGUGCCCUGUUAACAUGCAGGCGGCCUAUAACUUUAAAUCUUUAGAAAGGAACAUUACACUAGAGAAAAACAUCAUAUGUUUACUUCAAAUAUCUUUAGAGAGAACUAUCAUUUUUUUAUAUUUUUACCCAAAAUAGGAGUAGCAUCUGCCUGCACAACCGGAGGCUGCAUUUCAGGACCGCAGUCCUAUGACCGCAUUUCUAGGACCCUAGAUGUUUAGAUACAUCGCCACCUACCGAAUUACAGGACCAGUGACCGCAUGUUUUUCUGGAAGAUGGACGAUAUUCAGAGUAAACACAUAACAAUCCAAGAAGGGAGAUCCUUUCCUGGACUUUAGAGGUGCACCACAUGCUGCAAGGAGUUCCUCUGCUCGUUCUGCAGUUCUGCUUUGUUUCACCCAACAAAGUUGAGCAAAGUGAAAUCCCAUUUGGAGAGCCAUUUCAAACACACAGUUCUCUAUGAAGACCAUCAUAUAUGGCCUGGCUGGGCUGCAGAAUUUGUCUCUGCGGGAUGCUGAGAAGGCCUUCUUCUCUGGUCUGGAUUAUCAUCACAGUGAAGUGGAAAAAUUUAAUAGAGUGAUAUAGAAACAACUGAGAAAA
This is a long non-coding RNA of Megalobrama amblycephala (Wuchang bream), 600 nucleotides long. RefSeq lists it as uncharacterized. The record is from RefSeq and is a predicted model, not a curated record. NCBI's taxonomy places the organism in Eukaryota, Metazoa, Chordata, Actinopteri, Cypriniformes, Xenocyprididae. The transcript has 4 exons.